GGGUGCGCUGCUGCAUACGGCACAGCGCAGGUUAAAGGAUAAUCAUUGGUCGGGCCGCCAAUG
This 63-nucleotide non-coding RNA is filed under the name unclassified sequences. The record is from Rfam.